CUUGGUCAUUUAGAGGAAGUAAAAGUCGUAACAAGGUCUCCGUUGGUGAACCAGCGGAGGGAUCAUUACAGAGUUGCAAGACUCGCCAAACCCCGUGUGAACAUACCCGAUAGUUGCCUCGGCGGGCUGCCCCAGGGCGGGGCCAGCCGGAAGGACGACGGCCCGCCGGCGGUCUUACCAAUAAACACUUUUUGUCACACUUCAGCUUCAGAAGGACCGCGAAGAAACCAAUCAAAACUUUCAACAACGGAUCUCUUGGCUCUGGCAUCGAUGAAGAACGCAGCGAAAUGCGAUAAGUAAUGUGAAUUGCAGAAUCCAGUGAAUCAUCGAAUCUUUGAACGCACAUUGCGCCCGCCAGUAUUCUGGCGGGCAUGCCUGUCCGAGCGUCAUGUCGACCCUCAAGCGGCCCAGCUUGGUGUUGGGGCCCCCGCGGGCUCACCGCGGGGCCCUGGAAAUCAGUGGCGGGCUCGCCGCGGCCCUGGGCGUAGUAUGUCUCCCCGUGCCUCGCCUGCUGGACGACGCGGCUUGCUCCGGCCGUAAAACCCCCCCCACCGAGAGCCCGGGCCACCGGGCUCCAAAAGGUUGACCUCGGAUCAGGUAGGACUACCCGCUGAACUUAAGCAUAUCAAUAAGCGGAGGA
This 640-nucleotide ribosomal RNA is filed under the name uncultured fungus. RNAcentral's name for it is "eukaryotic LSU rRNA". The stretch from base 236 to 389 matches the Rfam family "5.8S ribosomal RNA". Lineage: Eukaryota; Fungi. The record is from RNAcentral.